This 433-nucleotide ribosomal RNA is filed under the name uncultured bacterium. Its description in RNAcentral is "partial 16S ribosomal RNA". It matches the Rfam family "Bacterial small subunit ribosomal RNA", at positions 29 to 507 of the family's 1533-position model. The record is from RNAcentral.
AAUGAACGCUGGCGGCAUGCCUAACACAUGCAAGUCGAACGGGAACUUCGGUUCUAGUGGCGCACAGGUGCGUAACGCGUGGGAACAUGCCCUUAGGUGCCGGAUAAUUCCCCGUAAGGGGUGCUAAUAUCGGAUAAUAUCUCCGACCAACAGCUUUAUCGACCUUGGAGGGGCACGGGUUGGAUUAGCCAGUUGGUAGGGUAAAAGCCUACCAAGGCGACGAUACAUAGCUUGGCAGAGAGGAAGAUCAGCCACACUGGGACUGAGACACGGCCCAGACUCCUACGGGAGGCGGCAAUGGGUAAUAUUGGACAAUGGGCGAAAGCAUGAUCCAGCAAUGCCGCGUGAGUGAUGAAGUCCUUAGGGUUGUAAAGCUCUUUUACCCGGGAGGAUAAUGACAGUACCGGGAGAAUAAGCUCCGGCUAACUCCGUG